GACACCUUAAUCCAACAUCGAGGUCGCAAACCCUUCUUUCAAUGUGAACUCUCCAGAAAGAUUACGCUGUUAUCCCUGUGGUAACUUUUUCCGAUAAUCAACAAUGCUGGAUCACUUGUCAGUAAACCAAAAUUCUACAAAUUAACAGAGAAGCUUUUCAUGUUCCCUAGUCACCCCAACUAAAGAUGUAAGAAUAAAUUUAAAAUCCUCUAUUCUAAUAGAAACAACCCCUUUAUUCCACACUAAAGCUCAACAGGGUCUUCUCGUCCCUCAGCUAAAUCUAAGCCUUUUCACUUAGAAGUUAAUUUUUAAAUAUUCCAGAAGAGACAGCUCAGCCCUCGUCAAACCAUUCAUACCAGCCUCCAAUUAAAAGGCAAGUGAUUGUGCUACCUUUGCACGGUCAGUGUACCGCGGCCGUUU
This 420-nucleotide ribosomal RNA is filed under the name Haliotis discus hannai (Japanese disc abalone). RNAcentral's name for it is "partial 16S rRNA". The record is from RNAcentral. Lineage: Eukaryota; Metazoa; Mollusca; Gastropoda; Lepetellida; Haliotidae.